RNAcentral lists this transfer-messenger RNA (396 nucleotides) under Sphingomicrobium lutaoense. It matches the Rfam family "Alphaproteobacteria transfer-messenger RNA". Rfam says of the family: Bacterial tmRNA, also known as 10Sa RNA or SsrA, is named for its dual tRNA and mRNA-like properties. Its role is to liberate the mRNA from a stalled ribosome. The record is from RNAcentral. Lineage: Bacteria; Pseudomonadati; Pseudomonadota; Alphaproteobacteria; Sphingomonadales; Sphingomicrobiaceae.
CAUCUUGCGCGGACGAAGCGCAAUCCCUAUCUCUGGAGGUGCCGGUUUUCCGGCUAUGUCGGUAGAGUAUCGAGUGGAAUAGGCAUAUCGGACCCGGGGGGCAGUACCCCGGCGCCUCCACCACCAGCCGCGAGGCCUUCGAAGGCCCGGACGCGGUUGCUGAUGGGGGCGAAACAGGAUCGACGAAUGCAGUAAAGGCUCGGUUGCCGAUCGGUAUGAGACCACCGCGACGGCUCAUUUUCACAAGUGCCAACGAUAACGAGGCGCUCGCUAUUGCUGCGUAACCGACGGUCUAACGACUAAGGUUACAAGGUAUUAAGCGCGGUCGGACCCCACCGGGCAACAGAAGGGGAUUCCAGCGGUCCGGAGGGUACCGGGCAACAGAAACCCUCCACU